Molecule: long non-coding RNA, 1853 nt
Organism: Bos taurus (domestic cattle)
Lineage: Eukaryota; Metazoa; Chordata; Mammalia; Artiodactyla; Bovidae
Source: Ensembl
UCACAGGGCUGUCCCUUCCUGGGGGCACUUUGUAUUUUGUUUCAAUAAAAUUGACUCUGGGGACUUGAGAAUCUUCAAAAAGCCAAUUUAAGGUAUUGCUCAGAGGGUCCAGGUGGUUGCAUGAGGUCAUACGCAGGCCUCUGGAAACAACCAAGGCAUGUACAUAAGUGGGACAAUCACAUCCCGACGUCCUUUUUGAAUAGACACAGGUUGGUGGGUGUGGAACACUGAGAAGUGUCAGCUGGACCCUGCCCAGGAAGCCGGGGGUAAAUGAGAGUGUCUGUCCUGGGUGCUCUAGGGAGGCACACGUGUGAGUAGUUAGCAGUCAGGAUGGUCGGCAGCAGCUGAAUGUUAGGCACUGAGUUACCACUCCUAACCUGCGGAAGAGGAGCCCAGAGUGAAGGCCUCGUUCCUUGGAGGACCCAAGAGCUCUGGACUGUGAGAGUUACGGGCACUCUGAAUCCUAGCCCUGCCUCUCUACUUGUAAUCUCUCUGAACCAGAGUUUCCUCUCUGUAAAGGGGGAGGGUAUUGAUAGUGCUGUGGGAACCCCCAUGUUUUAUCUCCUUUCCCUUUUGAGAAGGCCUGGGGUGUGAGGAACCGGACAUUCAAAACUCUUGGCACUGGGUCUCCCAGCAACAACUUUUGCCUGAGGAAACAACACAGGCCAUGGUACCUGGGGUGUCUCAGUGGUACCUGCAUUUUUCUGAGCAGUUGAUGCGGCUCUUUUCGGUUGUGUUUCAGAUCUGAGUGUUCUAUCCAGCUCUACUGUUACCAUCCUUGUACAAGCCUCUGUCAUCCCUCACCCAGACAACUCCGGUCACCUCCAAUUGCCUCCUGCACUCAGAACAUCAGCAUUGUGUCUGUAGGUUUUGGGUCCCAACCACUAAACUGAUGAUGGGAGAUGACCCUAAAACCUCAUGCAAAUCAAGGAUCAUCAGGCUAUGUGCAACACUCUUCAUGGGCUCCACAUGGUCUGAGCACAUAGACAUGAAAACCCUCCACCCUAUGCUGACUAUGGCAGGUGGAAUAGGAGCAGGAUAACUGCAAUGAGGACUCCCAUUCAGAGAAAAGAAGCAUGGGAACACAUCCGGCACUGGUUCAUGACAACGAUCAGAUGCUGAUGGGCUGGAGGAAGGAGCCCCCCUACCCCGGCAGUGGAGCUUUGUCCAUCGUCCAUGUCUCUGGGCUUUUCCUUCUGGGAGGCUCUUAUCCCCCAUGGCUACCCCUGAAACAGGCAUUGGUGAGAGGGGCCCCUGGGAGCUUCAGAGUGUUCACCUCUACUUCCUGCUGCUGCAGAUUGUGGAUCCCAGCGAUUGUAUUAGGAAGUAACGGUCAUAGUCAAUACUUUUUAUUGUUUGUUCAGUGCUUUCAAAAAAAAAAAAAACUUAGCAGGCUUUCAAUCUAUCUGCUUCUGAUCAGUUUCUUAUAUAAAAUCCACAACUACAGACCUGCAGCCAUCAUUCUAACACUGCAGGGGAACCAGGAGGGACUUGAGAAAGUUAAAUUCAAACUUGCCCUGUGCCUAACCACACUGCAGUUUACUUUGAUGUGAAGACCUUUAGAGUGAUAUGUAAGGGCAUCUCCUCCCAGAGCGCCCCUCUCCCUUUGCAGUCUGGGACUUCAACUGGAAGAUAGACAAUGAAGAUACACACCUGACUUGCUCCCACACUUGCGUCCUUUCUCACCUCCUCCCCGCCAUCCUCCAGACCUGAGAUCAGGGCUCUCCUGUCUGUUCUCCUCUUUAGAUAAAGCUCUAAGGUCAGUUCUGUCAGGCUGGCUUCUUGAUAUAUUACAGAGAAAGUUAAAGACAUCCAGAAUAUCCUUUUUCUUAAUAAAGACUGUCUUUCAAGAC